GGGGGGGGGGGGGGGGGGGGGGGGUGGGGGGGGGGGGGGCGGGGGGGGGGGGGGGGUGCUCCGGGGGCGUUGGGGGCGGACGGGGGAGUAGCACGUGGAGAACCUAGCUAUGAGAGUGUGAUAAGUGCGGGCACACGGCGCUCGUACCGGGUGAUCGAGUGACCCGCAUGGUUCACUCGUGAACGACGGUUUUGCUUCGCCUGCUAGCUGGAUCCGCGCCGCUGUAGCUAGUUGGUAAGGUAACGGCUUACCAAGGCCACGAUGCCUAGCCGACCUGAGAGGGUGAUCGGCCACACUGGAACUGAGACACGGUCCAGACUCCUACGGGAGGCAGCAGUAGGGAAUCUUCCGCAAUGGGCGAAAGCUUGACGGAGCAACGCCGCGUGAGUGAUGAAGGUCUUCGGAUCGUAAAACUCUGUUAUUAGGGAAGAACAAAUGUGUAAGUAACUAUGCACGUCUUGACGGUACCUAAUCAGAAAGCCACGGCUAACUACGUG
Molecule: ribosomal RNA, 497 nt
Filed under: uncultured bacterium
Lineage: Bacteria
Description: partial 16S ribosomal RNA
Rfam family: Bacterial small subunit ribosomal RNA (bases 51-497)
Source: RNAcentral